Long non-coding RNA from Monomorium pharaonis (pharaoh ant), 2617 nucleotides. RefSeq lists it as uncharacterized. The record is from RefSeq and is a predicted model, not a curated record. Lineage: Eukaryota; Metazoa; Arthropoda; Insecta; Hymenoptera; Formicidae. The transcript has 3 exons.
GUGCAUCCGCGUCCGGAGUUACCGACAACUCCGGCCGCCAAAACCUGCCAAAUUGUAGACGCCGAUUUUCAUGACAGGCGGACGGCGGGAGCGCCCCGCGUGCUCCCCUCGGUUCGCCGCUGCGCCCGCGAGAGGGCGUGGCCUGUGAGUCGGCAGGUGGUCGCUCUCGGAGCAGUGAAAGGGUUACCUUCACUUCUUCCUGCAUUUUUCUGAUUUUCUAGCUUUAAAUCGAACGGGAAACCUGUUGUUUUUUUUUUUAGAAUUAUAGAUCGAUCGUGAACAAAAUCUUAUUGAGUUGUCAUUUUUCUUUCCGUUAAACAUUGCCCUUUGUUGUAAUAAAUGAAGGUAACGUGUGAAGCAAUAGCUGGAAUAACUUUGUAGAGAUAAGAGAGAAUAAUGAAAUAACAACAUAUCUGUUGCUCUUCCGUUUCCCUUUCUCUCUUUGUUAUCUUUCACGUGCUUCGAAUAUUAUAAACUUCUAUUGUAUCUUGAACUUGGCCUGCUGACGAUGUCCAGAGAAACGUCCGAGGUCGUUUGCACCGGACAGCCUUGGCUGUUAAUUCUGGCCAACGGCGGCCUGCGUUUUUGUGAGAAUCGGGCGCACCUUUUAGUCGUCGCGAAUAAAAAUGCGCCGAAGAAAAUGCGAAAUUUACAGCAGCUACAAAAUAACAUUCGUAUUCUUACACAUUUUAAUCUUUAAUUAAUAAGAAAGAAAUUAUUAAUAUAUGGAUUCUUGGUUGCAUCUCGAUAUUUCAGUAAAUUUUGUAUUUGAAACAAAGAAGAAAAAAAUGAAUUUAGACUUUGUUUUCGAAUUAAAAGUUAAUUGAAGAGAACACUUGAAAAAACUAGGCAUCUUAUAACUUUGAUUUUUAAUAAUGUAUAUUGUGAUUUUAAUAUGGAAAUCAGGUAAAAAAACAGGCUGAAGGAAGAUUAAAAUAUGCGUUUUAUAUCUACGAAAAAUCCUCAAUUAUUGGAAUGUAUUUUACAAUUCAAAAUAGCAAUAUAAUUGUAACACAUCGGAAAGAUAAACGACAAGUUGGUACGCUGAAAUAACCACGUGCAAGUCGCGAAGAAAAUUGUCGUUCCGCGUUGCAAAAAGGGACACGUCAGAGAAAUUACUCCGAUUUAUUCUGUCGCAUCGUCUAUAUCGUGAGGAGCACGGAAUUGAAUAUCACAUUAACCAGCAAACCGAGCAGAUAUUGUACCUGUUGCACGGUUGCGCGGGUGUAUCGUUUUGCGGAUAAAGAGCGCGCGUAUUCACGCAACACAUUGUGUGCAUUCGCACGUACAGGGACAAAUAGCAGUUUAAGCUAAAGCGACUGUUAAUUCAUAUACUUUCCCUAUGUAAUCGUACAGCGAGUUAGCGGUGAUGUUAUAAUUGAAGGAAGUACUUUUAAAUCUUUCUUAGCGAUAAAAAAAUACAGUUUUAAAGCACAGAAAAAAAUAUCACGUGAAGAUUCGUCAGUGUUUCUGACAGCUGUAAAUAUUUUAUCGGUUCUAUUUAUAAAAAUAAAUCGUAUCUCUCGCGUAACAAUUUCAAGCCGAAUAAAAGGUGUAGAUUUUUUUCCUAAUACUUUGUAGAAUUGUAAUCUACACUAGAUUAAGAUUUGAUGCGAUUUGCUUAUAGCUGCUUGAACCUGAAGGUCAAUGAUACACGCUACAUGACGCAUAUUUCUUGGAAGUUAUAUAUUCAUGAGUGAAAAUGGAUUACCCGCUCUGAUUCAUCAUACAUUCUAGACAUAUUAUGCGGAAUUUUGAAUAGAUCCGCAUGUGAGAUUAAAUCAAAUUAAGCACGGGAGAACUGCGUUUAAUUGGGUAGAGAUAUCUAAUUGGAUAAGUGCUCAAUUGCUCAGAUGAACAUCCGAUUAAAAGAUUAGAGAAAUCAAAUAAUUAUUUACACAAACAAUUAAAUUAUCUUUUAAGAGAACAUGUAAUACAAAAGAUUUAAUUUUGAAAACUAGAAUGAAAGAAGAUUUCGAAAAAUCUGAUUUGUAUAAAUUCAUAAAAAGUGAAGCGAGAUUUUUUCAAAUGUAUAUAAGUUAUAAAUAAAUUGCUGAACAUUAUCUUGUUUAUUAUAUUGUAACGUUAUAUUAUCGAGUAAAAUCCGACUAGAAAGUAUUUUUAGCUUUAUUUUGUGCCACAAACCAGAAAGGUCCGUACCUUUCCAAACGAUUCUGAUACUUUGUAUCGUAUUAGCCCAUUUGCGAGGUAGAUUUCAAACGGGUUCCCUUAUGUUAUUUUUUUCCUUCACGCUUCGACAAAAUCAUUUGACUCCGAUCGCUAAAAUGCAACUUUCACAAGAAAGAAGCAAAAGAACAAUUACAUAAAACGGAAAACGUACGUGAAGGUUCUGCUUUUGUUUAACGUUAAAUAGCGAAUCGUACUCAUAAUAAAAGAAUCUUUUCUCUUUUUAGGAGCAGUAUCUAUGAAAUUAUUUAUAGAUGUAGAUUUAUAAUGUAGAACGUGAUUAUUUUCUCCUUUUUUCAGGUUUUUUUAAACUUUACAAAAAGAAAGAUCCGGAAUUAAAAGUCUUUCAAAUGAUUAUACGUGUAUCGUGAUACAAAAUAAUUGAUAGUUAAAGUAUAUAACUCAGAAAGGAUGUGCAAUAAAAAGAAAA